ACACGAACCGCACGAACGUUAUUCGGAAUCACUGGGCUUAAAGGGUGCGUAGGCGGUCCGGUAAGUUGGGUGUGAAAGCCCUCGGCUCAACCGAGGAAUUGCGCCCAAAACUACCGGACUUGAGGAAGACAGAGGUGAGCGGAACUUGCGGUGGAGCGGUGAAAUGCGUUGAUAUCGCAAGGAACACCAGUGGCGAAAGCGGCUCACUGGGUCUUUUCUGACGCUGAGGCACGAAAGCUAGGGGAGCGAACGGGAUUAGAAACCCGAGUAGUCC
Molecule: ribosomal RNA, 274 nt
Filed under: uncultured bacterium
Lineage: Bacteria
Description: partial 16S ribosomal RNA
Rfam family: Bacterial small subunit ribosomal RNA
Source: RNAcentral